Molecule: ribosomal RNA, 1697 nt
Filed under: bacterium
Lineage: Bacteria
Description: bacterial SSU rRNA
Rfam family: Bacterial small subunit ribosomal RNA
Source: RNAcentral
AAUAUUGAGAGUUUGAUCCUGGCUCAGGAUGAACGCUGGCGGUGUGCCUAACACAUGCAAGUCGAACGAGCCGCCCAUUCUGUAUUUGAGGGUGAUAUAAUAGCAAUAUGUAUUAUGUAUAUUUGCUUAAAAGAUAUAAUUCGCAAUCGAUUUAUAUUGGAUUUUCUUCCGAUCUAAAGAGAAGAUUAUCUGAGCAUAAGAAUAAAUAUCCUUGUGAAUUGAUCUAUUACGAAGCAUAUAGAAGUAAAAUGGAUGCUCAAGAAAGAGAAAGAAAGUUGAAAAACUUUGGCUCUGGAUUGGGUCAUCUAAAAAAUCGAUUGCUUGAAUCUCUUCAAGUGUAGAAUGGACGGCUAGUGGCGAACGGGUGAGUAACGCGUAGGAAUUUGCCCCGAACUGGGAAAUACCCAGCCGAAAGGCUGGCUAAUGUCCCAUGGUCCCAGCUCCUUCUAAAGUUACAUAUAUUUACUGUCUGAUGAAGCGAAUAAAAACAUUUCAUCUCGGUAGAACUAUGUGGUUUUAGAAGGGGCUGGGUAAAGAUUUAUCGGUUCGGGAGAAGCCUGCGUCCUAUCAGCUUGUUGGUGGGGUAAUAGCCUACCAAGGCGAUGACGGGUAGCUGGUCUGAGAGGAUGGUCAGCCACAAUGGGACUGAGACACGGCCCAUACUCCUACGGGAGGCAGCAGUUGGGAAUCGUACACAAUGGAGGCAACUCUGAUGUCGCGACACCGCGUGAAGGAUGAAGGCUUUCGGGUUGUAAACUUCUUUUAUAGGGGACGAUGAUGACGGUACCCUAGGAAUAAGCGACGGCUAACUACGUGCCAGCAGCCGCGGUAAUACGUAGGUCGCAAGCGUUAUCCGGAAUUAUUGGGCGUAAAGAAUGCGUAGGUGGUUUGAGAAGUUGUCCGUUAAAUCUUCAGGCUCAACCUGAUUCUCGCGGACAAAACUCUUAAACUAGAGUAUAACAGGGGCAAGUGGAAUUCCCGGUGUAGGAGUGAAAUCCGUUGAUAUCGGGAGGAACACCAAUGGCGAAGGCAGCUUGCUAGGUUAAUCUGACACUGAGGCAUGAAAGCGUGGGGAGCGAACGGGAUUAGAUACCCCGGUAGUCCACGCCGUAAACUAUGCAGACUAGCUAUCAGAAGUAUCGACCCUUCUUGUAGCGAAGCUAACGCGUUAAGUCUGCCGCCUGGGAAGUACGGUCGCAAGACUAAAACUCAAAGGAAUUGACGGGGGAUCGCACAAGCGGUGGAACAUGAGGUUUAAUUCGACGCUAAGCGGAGAACCUUACCAGGGCUUGACAUCUAGGGAAUCCUCUGGAAACAGAGGAGUGCCGCAAGGAACCCUAAGACAGGUGUUGCACGGUUGUCGUCAGCUCGUGCUGUGAAGUGUGCGGUUAAGUCCGUAAACGAGCGCAACCCUUACCAUGUGUUAUACAUGUCACAUGGGACUGCCGGUCUUAAACCGGAGGAAGGUGGGGACGACGUCAAAUCAGCGUGGCCCUUACGCCCUGGGCUACACUCGUGUUACAAUGGCACAGACAAUGGGUUGCUAAGCCGUGAGGCGGAGCCAAUCCCACCAAAAUGUGCCUCAGUUCGGAUUGUAGUCUGAAACUCGACUACAUGAAGCCGGAAUCGCUAGUAACCGUGGAUCAGCUACGCCACGGUGAAUACGUUCUCGAUCCUUGUACAAAAUAAAUGCGCUU